GUCUGGGUUCUCGUCUCCGGACGAUACGAUGGCUCCGAGGUCCUCCUCCUCGAGCUGCCACCGGUACCUCCACUCCGCCUACUACCUCAGGCACCCGAUGCGGCUCGCCUUCGUCUUCGUCAUCUUCGUUAUUGCCAUCUGGGAUUGGCCUUCCCUACCUAAUCCGGGAGCAUGAGGUGAGGGACGCCCCAUCCUUCGUUCCGCUCGUAUGUUUCUUUCUUCCCUAAUUUUUGUCUUUGCUUGAUUCUGAUCGUUGGCUAGAUUUGAAGUUCUUGCUGAUUGGAUCAUCUUAUAUUGCUUGCCUAUAAAAACCUACACACCAGAGUUCUUUACCUUUAAUGAGAAAAAAAAAAAAAAAGGCUGGAACAAGAAUGGUCUAUCUGUGGAGCCAUCAUUUCUUCUUUGUUGGUUGGAACUGGAGAGCCCCUUAACUUUUCUGGCUGAUAUUACCCAACUUGGGGAAGAAUUGAACCGAUUGCACGAUCAUCUACAGAAAGUAGAGGGGUGGUGGUCAUGCGGGGUGAAGUUUCCUCUGGUACAAAUGACAAACUUAUCGAUGAAUUUGAUCUUGUUAACAAUCAACGUAGAGAAAAGGUUAAGAUUCAAUUGUAAUUACGUGAUGUCUUUCCCUCUAUGACCGGUCGCAAUCAAAGAGUGGUGUGAAUAGUUUUUGUGGUCUUGGAGCAACCCUUGUGGACUCUCUCCAUGCACUAUACGUAAUGGAUCUAAAAGAUGAAUUUGAGAAGGCUAGAGAGAGGACGCUGUGACAUCCAACGACGAGUGUGUCAGGGCCGGCAGUUGGCACGCCUUGGGGGGACCUCCUCCUCCACCACCACCACGAUGGCGUCAGGCGUACGGACGGCUGCAGCGGAGCAGGUACGGCGGCUCGUCCGCCCUUCCGUGGAAACACGGACAGGAGCAAGUGACGCGUCGGAGUCACGUGAGCCGAGAUGCGUUCCGUCGUCGGCCUCCUCGGGCAAGCCCACCACCAACCUGUUGCUGCUCGCGAUACGGCUACCUCGCGUGAAACCGACGGCGGCCGUGGGAGUAGGUGGCGUGUCGGCGUCACGUGAUGGGCGCAACAUGACUGCUACUACGUACGGUCGUAAGUGGAUCUUACCUCCCACGUGCGAGGCAGAUCUCUGAUCCAGUAUUUGGACUGCUGCAUCUACCGAAAGGGAAUGCGUCGAUGAAUGAUGGUCCAUAUUAGAAUGCGUAUAAUCCUAAUCUCUGUAUAAUUCCAAUGCAAGCAGACACAUUUGAUGCAUAACUUGCAACGUGUUCUCUUACACGAA
Musa acuminata AAA Group (dessert banana) is the source of this 1295-nucleotide long non-coding RNA. RefSeq lists it as uncharacterized. The record is from RefSeq and is a predicted model, not a curated record. Lineage: Eukaryota; Viridiplantae; Streptophyta; Magnoliopsida; Zingiberales; Musaceae. The transcript has 5 exons.